Molecule: long non-coding RNA, 407 nt
Filed under: Olea europaea subsp. europaea
Lineage: Eukaryota; Viridiplantae; Streptophyta; Magnoliopsida; Lamiales; Oleaceae
Source: RNAcentral
GUUAAUACAGGGAGAUUCAAAAGUCCGCCCCCCCCCCUUUUAUUUUUUGAACGGUACCAUGUAGAAAUUUGAAUUUUUGUAUGUUCAUAUAUGAUAUGGUCUAGUAUUUUUUGCGAUAUGUGAAAACUCAGGGGCCGCUUCAGGGGUGGCCCCAGGGGGGUCAACUUUUGAUUCUUAAAUAGAAACACCCCUUUUGUGAUACGUUGUUGGAAACAUGAUUUUUUUUUAAGUACUUUACAAUAAAAAUGAGCUUUCUAUCUUAAGUAGAUCAAAAGUUAUGCCUCAUUAAAGUUUAAUGAAAACACAUUUUCGAACCCGGGUUUUUUGAUGACUGGAUGGUUUUUGUUUAGCCAGCUAAUAGUUUUCCUCAUAUUCACAAGUAAAAACAACUAAAAAAAAUGUUUUUG